UAGCUCAGUUGGUAGAGCAGUUGACUUUUAAUCAAUUGGUCGCAGGUUCGAGCUUGCGGCGACGGCCCGCAGGGCGAGGCGAAGCCGAGUCAUCCUGCACGACCCACCA
RNAcentral lists this small RNA (109 nucleotides) under Klebsiella pneumoniae MRSN 3562. RNAcentral's name for it is "RtT RNA". The stretch from base 1 to 57 matches the Rfam family "tRNA", at positions 8 to 63 of the family's 71-position model. Rfam says of the family: Transfer RNA (tRNA) molecules are approximately 80 nucleotides in length. The record is from RNAcentral. Lineage: Bacteria; Pseudomonadati; Pseudomonadota; Gammaproteobacteria; Enterobacterales; Enterobacteriaceae.